GUGGGGAAUCUUCCGCAAUGGACGAAAGUCUGACGGAGCAACGCCGCGUGAGUGAAGAAGGUUUUCGGAUCGUAAAGCUCUUUCGUUAGGGACGAACGUGCUCUUUGUGAAUAAUGAGGAGUAAUGACGGUACCUAAAUAAGAAGCCACGGCUAACUACGUGCCAGCAGCCGCGGUAAUACGUAGGUGGCGAGCGUUGUCCGGAAUUAUUGGGCGUAAAGCGCGCGCAGGCGGGAUAUCAAGUCUGUCUUAAAAGUGCGAGGCUCAACCUCGUGAGGGGACAGAAACUGGUAUUCUUGAGUGUCGGAGAGGAAAGUGGAAUUCCAAGUGUAGCGGUGAAAUGCGUAGAGAUUUGGAAGAACACCAGUGGCGAAGGCGACUUUCUGGACGAUGUCUGACGCUGAGGCGCGAAAGCUAGGGGAGCGAACGGGAUUAGAAACCCUAGUAGUCC
RNAcentral lists this ribosomal RNA (450 nucleotides) under uncultured bacterium. RNAcentral describes it as "partial 16S ribosomal RNA". It matches the Rfam family "Bacterial small subunit ribosomal RNA", at positions 354 to 796 of the family's 1533-position model. The record is from RNAcentral.